GCUGAAACUUUGAUCUUGAACUUCCCAGCCUCAAGACCUGUACUUCUGUCCUCUGUGGUGGAGAAUAAAGGGAAGCCAGGAAGUGUGGGUCAGGAUCUCUGGGAAACUGCUGGCUUCUAGCAAGGCUGGCACGGGUGUGUUCCCAUGGAAGGAAAGAACCAAAGGUGCUGGUGAGUAGCUCACCACAGGGGUCAGCCCUGCAGCCCUCUCUGUGAGAUUGUCCUCAGCCUGUGCCUUGGGAAGUAGAAUUUCCUAUAUGUUCUCCACUUAGCAUGUUAUCAACAAUAUACCCCAUCAGGCACUCCAUAAAUAAAUGAAUGGAAAUCCUCCAAAUCAGGAUAAAGCUCAAAUACUGUCUCUUCUGUGAAGACUACUUGGAUCCCCCAAUCAAGAACAAUCCUUUACACUUCCCUUCUCUGGCUGCCUGACAUGAGACAUAUUUCCUGGUGUUGACUAAAUCCAGGGCUCACCCUAAGAUUUUUACCAGAGAGUAAGAAUGUGGGAAUAAUUGUAUAUCCCAUGGGUGGCCACAUGUAUAUAUUUAUCCCAUCCCACAUGCUCUUCUUGCAGUCUGACAGACACUCCCCCACCAGGAGCUGGGAGUGACGGGAGUGAUGUUCUCUACUCUUUAAUUGGGGUAUAGUCUUGUGCAUCUCUUGACUGCCGCAACAGGGUAUGGUGGAAGGAAUCCCAUGUGGCUUCUGAGGCUAAGAGGCUAGAUCACAAAAAGGAGAGGUUUUUUUUUGUUUUGUUUUGUUUUGUUUUGUUUUCUCUCUAUCUCUGUCUCCCAUGAAGCUUACCCUUGGAACUCAGCUGCUAUUUUGUAAGGAAGUCCAUGCCUCUGCUAGAUCUGCAGCCAAUAGCCAGCCUCACCACCAGAUGUGUAAAUGAGCCUCAGAUGAUGCCAGCCUCACCCUUCGAGUCUUCCAGUUGAGGCCCCAUUGUGCAGAAGACAUAAGGCAUUCCCACAUGCCCUGUCUGAACUUCUGACCCACAAACACUAUCAGAGAUAAUAAAUGAUCAUUGUUUUAAGUUACUAAGUUUUAAGUUACUUAAUUAUGCAGCAAUAAAUAGAUAAUCAAUACAAAGGCGCAUACUGUUCCAUGUAUAAAUGUCUACCGUAUCUUUCAUGCCUUCUUCCAACCCUAACUUGUAACACUUUUGUAGCAAUUAGUGCCCAAUUUGCACAUGAAAUACAAAUCAUAUUUCUGUAAAUGGUCAUGAGGGUUAAAUAAAGAUCAUACAUGAAAGAGCCAGGCAGGGUGUUCAGUAAUAUGAAGUACUCAGUAAAUGUUAACUACACACGAAUUUGCUGAAACAUGUUUCUUAUGUUUAAAUAAUGAAUUUGCUUUUCCUUGUAUAUCUUGCCUGUAUGACACAAAAGGACACAGUCUGAUCACAUCAGUUCAGCAAAGGCAAGCCUCAUCAGUUGGUAAAAAAAAUUGGUUUAAUGAAUUGCAAUCACACAAACAAAACUACAACUUACUUGAUUAAGUUUUCCACCUCUCAUCUGGUUUCUCUACCUUAUAUUUGUAUUCUGAUUCUGUCCUUUUAUUGGUUUUCCUUUCCUUUUAAGUCCUUGGAUGAAUUUUUAAAUAUCUAUUGCAUUUUUUUAUGUGGCCAAAGUCUCUUGAAUAAGGUCUUAUUGAAAUUUCUUCAAUGGCUGGAUAAAAUUGCAUCCCAACUCAAUUUUUGCAUCCUGGCACAGGAAGUGGUCUCAAGUAUUGCAGAACUGGAUGGAGACUCGUAGGCCCUCUGGGCAGGCUAAUACUUUGCUUUCCCAUCACAUGGAUAUUCAUAAAAUAUUUGUUAGAUGUUAUGUAGGAGUGAGGCUAGAGAAGGCUAGCAGGACCAGGGCUUACUCACAUUCUGGCUCUGUAAGACAGUGAUCUGGCUGUGAUGGCCACAGUUGAUUGGCUGUCUUCUCAGCCCUCCGCAAAUGCACUCAUCGGGAGCAGGUUAACCUUCUCAAGUAGAGGAUGUUCCUGUGUUCUGUCAAGGAUAUACAGGACACAGUCUGUGCCGAUGCUUUUUUCGUGCAUGAAACAUAUCAUCUUAAGAAGAUUUGCAAGUCCGUUUGUGUGUAGUACAGCAGCAAGGAUCGUAGACCUGGUGUCAGCAAGCCUGGACACACAGUUUCUCUGAGCCUUUCAAAUGAAGGUCUUGGAUAAAAUCACUUUUAAAGCUCUUGCCUGCUAUAUUAUUUCAUCUCUUUCUUAUAUGAGCUGCAUGAUAAAUGAGUAUAGAAAAAAGAAUACACAUGCUUUACAAGAGAAAUUCAAAAGAAUUAACCUAUAUAUCCUUUUAGGUUAAUUAAAAUAGAAUUCUGACUUACGAGGUUUCCAUCUAAUUCAGAGCUAAUACUUUAAAGUUUUUACAAAAUCUUCGUAAAACAAAACCAGUGAGUAAUAUAUUACCAACUAUAGGAUUCAUGAAAAAAUGGGAGUCAAAUGAAGCACUGCCACAUUGAUCAAAUCAUUGUACAAUUUUUAGAAAUAACAGCAUGUGAACCUUGAUGUCACUGCUGCAAAUGCAUUUCUAUAUUUUGUGUAUAGUUUUGAAAAAUUUGUAGCCUGAUGCUACAAAUAUGUAAUAUAAUUUCCUUCAGAAAAUAAUAUUUAUAAUUAUCAGUACCCAAUGAUUGCAUGCAAGAGAAGUUUACUUGUUGGCUGAAUUACAUUUAUUGAGAAGUAAGAAAAUAAAAGAUCCUGGAACGAUCACUACAGUAACGAAACGGCUGAGUUGCCCACAGUUAAACUGCUGGGACUACCAGUUGGAAAUCAGACAAUGAAGAAGGAGAAGACAUGAGUUCUAAUAAGGUGAAAAUUGUUCUUCAGGGAAAAUGGAAUAUUAAACAUAGUUUGGUUUUGCAAACACUCUAGGUUAUGUAAAAUGUAAAGAUGAAGCUAGAAAUUCAAGUCUGGAAAGAACUAUAGAUACCUAGAUACACUGAGCUUUGACUACAGUGGCCUAUUUAUACAUAGCUACUGGUUACUUCCACUGAAUUGUAUUUACGAUUUAAAAUUUAUGAGAUUUUAAUGAAUUAAAUAAAAGUCUGUGGCUGUAGAAAAGCUAUUUCUCUUGUCCUGAAAAUGCUCUGAUUGCUUUAAUUUUCUCACAACUCCCUUUUUUUCUUUUCACUCUUCUCUCUCUCUGCCCCAUUCUUUCUCUCAAGGUUGGGGUGUUCUUUCUUGUGUAAGCUGCUGCAUAGAGGUGAGAUAUAGGAUAUAUAGAGAGUGCUGAUUAAUUUAUAAAAUCUUGAAGUUCCUUUCCAUUGUUAAUUUAUUUUAAAAGUUAUUUCAUCAUAUUAAUGAAAAUUAAAUAAUAUUCUGCAAAAUAACUGGCUUGUAUUUGUCAAAAAUUCAAGUUCAAGAAAGGCAACGAAAAACUGAGGAGCCAUUUGAAAUUGCAGAAGACACAAGAGUUGACAACGAAAUGUAGUCCACCUGAUUUGAGAUUUCAUCCUGUACUGGAAUAUUUAGAAGAAGGAGCACAAGAAAGAGGACACCCUUAACAGAAAAGUUAUUCAUUUCCAAUUUAAGACUCAUCAAGGGAUAAAAUCUGAAAACUUAUAAAGGAUACUUAUUACAGAAAAAAUUUAAGGGGAAACUGGUGCUGUGGAGAGACCCAUGUGGAAAGGAACUGAGGACUCCCGGCAAAAGUCACCAAGGACCGAGGUUGCUGACAGCUGCAUGUGAACUCGGAAGCAGAUCAAUCCUUGCCCAAGCCCACACUUUGUCUACAGCCUUGGUGAGAGACCCUGAGCCAGGGAUGCACAUCCAAGCUGCACCCAAACUCUUGACCCACAGAAACUGUGAGAUGAUGAAUGUGUUUAAGCCCCCAUAUUGUGGAGUCAUUUAUUACACAGCAAUAGAUGGCUAAGAUGAGCACUAUUUUUAUCCCCUUGUGAGUUCAUGGCUUGGUCUCCCUACCUCCCACUGACUAAAUGUGGCUAAAGCAAAAUCCAAUAACCAGCUGUCUCUGAACAAUAUUAACUGAAUGCCUACUGUUUACUAGCAUGACAGGAAUUCAAAAGAGUUUAUGAGGGAAAUGGCCACAGUGAGGCAGAGGAUUUACAUGCUGGGAAGGCUUCAUCCUGGCAAAUUACCCAGGGCAGACCUUCCCUCCUUCACUGUCUAAAAUAUCCAACUCUUAUAGUUUCAAAUCCCCAUCUCUUAUUGUCUGUCUUAUAGAAACCACCCUGACUCCUCAAAUACAGUCACUCCAUUCCCUAUGA
Molecule: long non-coding RNA, 4237 nt
Filed under: Homo sapiens (human)
Lineage: Eukaryota; Metazoa; Chordata; Mammalia; Primates; Hominidae
Description: HSALNT0347137
Source: RNAcentral